ACGAAAGUCUGACCGAGCAACGCCGCGUGAGUGAAGAAGGUUUUCGGAUCGUAAAGCUCUGUUGUAAGUCAAGAACGUGUGUGAGAGUGGAAAGUUCACACAGUGACGGUAGCUUACCAGAAAGGGACGGCUAACUACGUGCCAGCAGCCGCGGUAAUACGUAGGUCCCGAGCGUUGUCCGGAUUUAUUGGGCGUAAAGGGAGCGCAGGCGGUCAGGAAAGUCUGGAGUAAAAGGCUAUGGCUCAACCAUAGUGUGCUCUGGAAACUGUCUGACUUGAGUGCAGAAGGGGAGAGUGGAAUUCCAUGUGUAGCGGUGAAAUGCGUAGAUAUAUGGAGGAACACCAGUGGCGAAAGCGGCUCUCUGGUCUGUCACUGACGCUGAGGCUCGAAAGCGUGGGUAGCGAACAGGAUUAGAUACCCUGGUAGUCCACGCCGUAAACGAUGAGUGCUGGGUGUUAGGCCCCUUCCGGGGCUUAGUGCCGGAGCUAACGCAAUAAGCACUCCGCCUGGGGAGUACGACCGCAAGGUUGAAACUCAUAGGAUUGACGGGGGCCCGCACAAGCGGUGGAGCAUGUGGUUUAAUUCGAAGCA
This 591-nucleotide ribosomal RNA is filed under the name Streptococcus mutans. RNAcentral's name for it is "bacterial SSU rRNA". It matches the Rfam family "Bacterial small subunit ribosomal RNA", at positions 375 to 958 of the family's 1533-position model. The record is from RNAcentral. Lineage: Bacteria; Bacillati; Bacillota; Bacilli; Lactobacillales; Streptococcaceae.